This 459-nucleotide ribosomal RNA is filed under the name uncultured bacterium. RNAcentral's name for it is "partial 16S ribosomal RNA". It matches the Rfam family "Bacterial small subunit ribosomal RNA", at positions 338 to 795 of the family's 1533-position model. The record is from RNAcentral.
CCUACGGGCGGCUGCAGUGAGGAAUAUUGGUCAAUGGACGAGAGUCUGAACCAGCCAAGUAGCGUGAAGGAUGACUGCCCUCUGGGUUGUAAACUUCUUUUAUAUGGGAAUAAAAUGUUCCACGUGUGGGAUUUGUAUGUACCAUAUGACUAAGGAUCGGCUAACUCCGGGCCAGCAGCCGCGGUAAUACGGAGGAUCCGAGCGUUAUCCGGAUUUAUUGGGUUUAAAGGGAGCGUAGGUGGAUUGUUAAGUCAGUUGUGAAAGUUUGCGGCUCAACCGUAAAAUUGCAGUUGAAACUGGCAGUCUUGAGUACAGUAGAGGUGGGUGGAAUUCGUGGUGUAGCGGUGACAUGCUUAGAGAUCACGAAGAACUCCGAUGGCGAAGGCAGUUCACAGGACUGCAACUGACACUGAGGCUCGAAAGUGUGGGUAGCAAACAGGAUUAGAUACCCGGGUAGUC